UACGAAGGGGGCUAGCGUUGCUCGGAAUCACUGGGCGUAAAGGGUGCGUAGGCGGGCCUUUAAGUCAGGGGUGAAAUCCUGGAGCUCAACUCCAGAACUGCCUUUGAUACUGAAGAUCUUGAGUAUGGGAGAGGUGAGUGGAACUGCGAGUGUAGAGGUGAAAUUCGUAGAUAUUCGCAAGAACACCAGUGGCGAAGGCGGCUCACUGGCCCAUUACUGACGCUGAGGCACGAAAGCGUGGGGAGCAAACAGG
RNAcentral lists this ribosomal RNA (253 nucleotides) under uncultured bacterium. Its description in RNAcentral is "partial 16S ribosomal RNA". It matches the Rfam family "Bacterial small subunit ribosomal RNA", at positions 524 to 776 of the family's 1533-position model. The record is from RNAcentral.